UAAAGCGUGCGCAGGCGGUUAUAUAAGACAGAUGUGAAAUCCCCGGGCUCAACCUGGGAACUGCAUUUGUGACUGUAUAGCUGGAGUGCGGCAGAGGGGGAUGGAAUUCCGCGUGUAGCAGUGAAAUGCGUAGAUAUGCGGAGGAACACCGAUGGCGAAGGCAAUCCCCUGGGCCUGCACUGACGCUCAUGCACGAAAGCGUGGGGAGCAAACAGGAUUAGAUACCCUGU
Molecule: ribosomal RNA, 230 nt
Filed under: uncultured bacterium
Lineage: Bacteria
Description: partial 16S ribosomal RNA
Rfam family: Bacterial small subunit ribosomal RNA
Source: RNAcentral